CGAAAGCCUGAUCCAGCAAUACCGCGUGCAGGAAGAAGGCCUUCGGGUUGUAAACUGCUUUUGUACGGAACGAAACGGUCUAGAUUAAUACUCUGGGCUAAUGACGGUACCGUAAGAAUAAGCACCGGCUAACUACGUGCCAGCAGCCGCGGUAAUACGUAGGGUGCAAGCGUUAAUCGGAAUUACUGGGCGUAAAGCGUGCGCAGGCGGUUUUGUAAGACAGGCGUGAAAUCCCCGGGCUCAACCUGGGAAUUGCGCUUGUGACUGCAAGGCUAGAGUACGGUAGAGGGGGGUAGAAUUCCG
RNAcentral lists this ribosomal RNA (303 nucleotides) under uncultured beta proteobacterium. RNAcentral's name for it is "bacterial SSU rRNA". It matches the Rfam family "Bacterial small subunit ribosomal RNA", at positions 376 to 671 of the family's 1533-position model. The record is from RNAcentral. Lineage: Bacteria; Pseudomonadati; Pseudomonadota; Betaproteobacteria.